RNAcentral lists this long non-coding RNA (328 nucleotides) under Cotesia glomerata. Its description in RNAcentral is "uncharacterized LOC123261500". The record is from RNAcentral. Lineage: Eukaryota; Metazoa; Arthropoda; Insecta; Hymenoptera; Braconidae.
ACCCGGUGAACUUCGUAUCAUCUACAUAUAUUUGUGAAAAGUAUAGUCAAAACUUGAUACAAAAUUUUUAUUUACAUUAAAUGCAACAUAUUUAUACACUUAAUUAAUUUUAAAGCUUUCCGAUGGACUACAUUUUUUAUCUUUUCUUGCAGUGCGUAAAUAUAUAAAGAUGGUGGUUUCCCGACUCACGAACAGUCGUCAGGUCGUCUUCUCCUUGACCAAAAAGAUCGGACCUCACUUCACAGCUAGGAACGGACCCAAAGAGAUCGGACCUCAUUACUCAGCUCAGAACAUUGUGUAUUGGAAAACUAAAUUGUCGUUUUUAGUA